RNAcentral lists this transfer RNA (24 nucleotides) under Mammuthus sp. Its description in RNAcentral is "partial tRNA-Leu". Lineage: Eukaryota; Metazoa; Chordata; Mammalia; Proboscidea; Elephantidae. The record is from RNAcentral.
GUUAAGAUAGCAAAAAUUGGUUAC